Molecule: ribosomal RNA, 583 nt
Filed under: Saccharomyces cerevisiae (brewer's yeast)
Lineage: Eukaryota; Fungi; Ascomycota; Saccharomycetes; Saccharomycetales; Saccharomycetaceae
Description: eukaryotic LSU rRNA
Rfam family: Eukaryotic large subunit ribosomal RNA
Source: RNAcentral
CAUAUCAAUAAGCGGAGGAAAAGAAACCAACCGGGAUUGCCUUAGUAACGGCGAGUGAAGCGGCAAAAGCUCAAAUUUGAAAUCUGGUACCUUCGGUGCCCGAGUUGUAAUUUGGAGAGGGCAACUUUGGGGCCGUUCCUUGUCUAUGUUCCUUGGAACAGGACGUCAUAGAGGGUGAGAAUCCCGUGUGGCGAGGAGUGCGGUUCUUUGUAAAGUGCCUUCGAAGAGUCGAGUUGUUUGGGAAUGCAGCUCUAAGUGGGUGGUAAAUUCCAUCUAAAGCUAAAUAUUGGCGAGAGACCGAUAGCGAACAAGUACAGUGAUGGAAAGAUGAAAAGAACUUUGAAAAGAGAGUGAAAAAGUACGUGAAAUUGUUGAAAGGGAAGGGCAUUUGAUCAGACAUGGUGUUUUGUGCCCUCUGCUCCUUGUGGGUAGGGGAAUCUCGCAUUUCACUGGGCCAGCAUCAGUUUUGGUGGCAGGAUAAAUCCAUAGGAAUGUAGCUUGCCUCGGUAAGUAUUAUAGCCUGUGGGAAUACUGCCAGCUGGGACUGAGGACUGCGACGUAAGUCAAGGAUGCUGGCAUAAUG